CCUAUGGGAGGCAGCAGUGGGGAAUAUUGGGCAAUGGAGGAAACUCUGACCCAGCGACGCCGCGUGCGGGAUGAAGGCCUUCGGGUUGUAAACCGCUUUCAGUAGGGAAGAAGCGAAAGUGACGGUACCUACAAAAGAAGCACCGGCUAACUAUGUGCCAGCAGCCGCGGUAAUACAUAGGGUGCAAGCGUUGUCCGGAAUUAUUGGGCGUAAAGAGCUCGUAGGUCGUUUGUUACGUCGGAUGUGAAAACCUGAGGCUCAACCUCAGGCCUGCAUUCGAUACGGGCAAACUAGAGUUUGGUAGGGGAGACUGGAAUUCCUGGUGUAGCGGUGGAAUGCGCAGAUAUCAGGAGGAACACCAAUGGCGAAGGCAGGUCUCUGGGCCAAUACUGACACUGAGGAGCGAAAGUCUGGGGAGCGAACAGGAUUAGAUACCCUGGUAGUCCAGACCGUAAACGGUGGGCACUAGUUGUGGGAACCUUCCACGGUUUCUGCGACGCAGCACGACAUAGUACGCCGCCGUCGGGUAGGUACGACGUCGCGAGAGUAAACGUACAACGAGUAAGUAGUACGCGUUGUAGAGUUGCCGACGGACGACGACGAGGGAGGAGG
RNAcentral lists this ribosomal RNA (612 nucleotides) under uncultured bacterium. RNAcentral's name for it is "bacterial SSU rRNA". The stretch from base 1 to 521 matches the Rfam family "Bacterial small subunit ribosomal RNA", at positions 338 to 873 of the family's 1533-position model. The record is from RNAcentral.